UACGUAGGGCGCGAGCGUUGUCCGGAUUUAUUGGGCGUAAAGAGCUCGUAGGCGGCUUGUCGCGUCGACCGUGAAAACUUGGGGCUCAACCCCAAGCCUGCGGUCGAUACGGGCAGGCUCGAGUUCGGUAGGGGAGACUGGAAUUCCUGGUGUAGCGGUGAAAUGCGCGGAUAUCAGGAGGAACACCAGUGGCGAAGGCGCCGCUCUGGGCCGGAACUGACGCUGAGGAGCGAAAGUGUGGGGAGCGAACAGG
Molecule: ribosomal RNA, 253 nt
Filed under: uncultured bacterium
Lineage: Bacteria
Description: partial 16S ribosomal RNA
Rfam family: Bacterial small subunit ribosomal RNA
Source: RNAcentral